This 2997-nucleotide long non-coding RNA is filed under the name Canis lupus familiaris (dog). RNAcentral describes it as "lncRNA (ENSCAFG00000051140.1)". The record is from RNAcentral. Lineage: Eukaryota; Metazoa; Chordata; Mammalia; Carnivora; Canidae.
GAUAGUCACACAGAGAGAGAGGCAGAGACACAGGCAGAGGGAGAAGCAGGCCCCAUGCACCGGGAGCCCGACGUGGGAUUCGAUCCCGGGUCUCUAGGAUCACGCCCUGGGCCAAAGGCAGGCACCAAACCGCUACGCCACCCAGGGAUCCUGUACAGCUGUAUUUUUAAAACCAACUACAUCUUAGUGAAUUCCAUAAAGAUUCAGUAUUUGUUCACAAAUACAGGUGGAGAGAAAGUCCAUUCGGAGUGGGGAGGAGGGAUGGCCAAAUUUAAACUGACUGGAUCAGAAGAAUUAGAAUAUCUAAAGCGAAGGUUCCCAACCAGAGGUGGACACCACCACGGACCUCUUAAAACCACAGAAACUUUGUACCCAGCCCAGCCCCCCUAAAUCUCCAGGGGUAAUGUCCGGGCUGGGCUGUUGAAAGAUCUGUGGAGGUCACCGUGCACGCGCUCAGGUGGGAACACUGGUGCAGCAGAGGCACAGGGGCCGGAGUGGAAGGAGCUCUCACCUGGAUCUGAGUCAGAAUCAUCCUGAAUUAGCCACACAAAAGGAUCUGUGUACCGUGAAUCACAAACCCAGAAGUCAAAAUGUGGGAAAAGAUGAGAGAGCCCUGGAAAGGUGAGCAAGAACAUCCAGGGAGGGUGGGCUGGAAAAGGGCAGGAGGGUCUCACUGUGGUUUCCCCCAGGUGCCUGGUGCAUAGUGGGGACACAUAUUUGAUGAAUGAGACUCACUCGGCUGAUAAGCACAUGCUGAUGCACAUCACCAAGCUUCCACAGAGCCACCUACUGUGUGCAGAAACCCUGAGUCAGCUCCAGCAACUCAGGCCAAGAGUCCCUCUUGCGGUUCCCCACUGGAAGAAUAGUUUUCCUUCAGGAAAGACAGUGUAGAAGUGUUCUAGAAGCAUGGCCCUCUUUAACAAUUCUUAGUCAUCAAGGAAGCCUCUUUCUGCCUCCAAAUCACAGAUGACUCUUCUCCUGGUUCCCAGUUAUGUAGGUCACCCAUCAAUUUUAUAUUUUAUGAUUAAGGUAGAACUCAAAGGUGAAAGGAAAUUAGGGAGGUAUUCUGAAAACGCAACAAAAUGAGAAAACCUUUUACCAAGCUAAGAAAGAACAAUAUCGGCCUUAUCUUAUCUCUCCGGUGUUUAAAACAAAGGCAGAUUUUGAAUUACGGGAAUUUCUCAGCUCUGCCUCUAUGAAAAAUGCUAUUGGAGGGGCACCCGGCUGGCUCAGUGGUUGAGCAUCUUGCCUUUGGCUCAGGUUGUGAUCCCAGGGUCCUGGGAUCGAGACCCGCAUCAGGCUCCCUGCGAGGAGCCUGCUUCUCCCUCUGCCUAUGUCUCCGCCUCUCAUGAAUAAAUAAAUAAAAUCUUUUUUUUUUUUUUUUUAAGAAAAUGCUAUUAGGUAGCUUGUCUUCCGUUUUGCUCUCAAUGAAAACACUUGCUAAGGUCUUCUGAGGGUUCCAGAUUUCUGGCCGGGGCUGCCAUCCCUCAGCUGAUGGGGGGCUCUUUCUGACUCCAGCCACCACGGUCUCCCAAAGGCUUUGAGAUGAAAAUGCAGCCAGGGGAAGGGGCUGAAAGAGAUUCCACCAAAGGAAGCAUCGCUCACAAUGGUUUCAAUGGUCUGCAAUCAGUUAGCCCCCAGGACAUCCCCAGCCACAGGGAUGGGUGAUCUGAAAAUGAAGCAUAUCAAAAUGCUAUUGAUAAGCUAAAUUACCAGACAGCUUAUCUGAGGCCCACAUCCGCCAUAUGGUGCCCCAACUUCUGCCGCCUGUUGCGGCCGCAACAAUAGGCACGCCUACCCGGAGAGCACCGUCGGACAGAAACCCAGCAGCAGCGGCAUGUGGGGCGGCUGCUGUGUUUACAUUUUAUUCUGCGCUAUUAGCCUCGUGCCUCCCCCACCAUCCCAGGAGGGCCUGCAACACAGCACACAUUCGACAUCAAAAAUAUGCGUUACCUACAGGACACACGCACGCCCGCGAUGCGUGUGUGUGUGUGUGUGUGCGUGCGCGCAUGUGUGCACCCAGGUAUACAUCAGGUGAAGAGAGCAAACCAGAUGUCAGCCCCGGGAACGGAGCUGCCUGGUGGGGGAGGGCGAGCCAGGCGGGCUCCCAGCGAGAGCUGCAAGCAGACAAUGCGCUUUUCUCAAAACACUCGGGCGGGCGGGCCUCGGGGAGUGGCUAUUUAAAACACUUGGCUCCUUUUAUUUCACCACCGUGGAAGUGAAUUCGGCUCUUAAGUGCCAGAGCAAAUGAAGUCAUUUGGUUUCUGCGGGCUCCCUUUGCAUUUCAGCAGAAGUCAGAACUGGACGAAAGUCGGAAGGUCCAGCUGAAGUUGUUCUUUCUUCCAAUUAAAAUUGAUUCCACAGAGGAUUUGGCGCCUGGGCUUCAUUAACUUUUUUUUUUUCUUUCUUUCUUGGAAAAGGCUCUAAGGUCGCAGAAAAUUUAAAGGACAUCAGGCAGUGGAAUGAACGCUGUCAAAGAUGCCUCCUGUCAUAGAAUGCCAUCAGGUCAAGAUGUAAAGAUGAACAAACAAAUGCAGAUAGCACCUUCUAAAGGCUUGGUUGGUAUCCAAGAUUAAUGGUGGUUCUCGCUGAAUGAAUUCGUAAGAUUUCUGCAUUUAUUGCUUUCUACUCCCUACCCUCUAAAGAGGUUCCUCUCUUCACAGAGAUUUUAUCAUUAACGGUAAUAAAAUAUUCAUUUAUUUAUAGUUUACUACCUAUUAGGUAAAAGACACUGGUUUUCAAAGAGACCUCAGCAACACAUAGCAUCCGGUUGUGCAAAAAAUGUACAAGAUGCAGGUUUGGUUACAGUGCAAAGCAAAAAAAAAAAAAAAAAAAAAAAGGACAGUCAAUCUAACAUUCAGAUCUAGUUAAUUAUUACAGAAAAGCACUCAUUUUCAUCCCCCCCACAAUUACCAACACCUAAGCAGAAAACAUUCUUGGAUGAACUUUUCAAAUUUUCUUAAACAUUCUCAGUUAAAAAAAAAAAAAAAAAAAAAA